RNAcentral lists this ribosomal RNA (468 nucleotides) under uncultured bacterium. RNAcentral's name for it is "partial 16S ribosomal RNA". It matches the Rfam family "Bacterial small subunit ribosomal RNA", at positions 28 to 507 of the family's 1533-position model. The record is from RNAcentral.
GACGAACGCUGGCGGCGUGCUUAACACAUGCAAGUCGAACGGAAAGGCCCUGCUUUUGUGGGGUGCUCGAGUGGCGAACGGGUGAGUAACACGUGAGUAACCUGCCCUUGACUUUGGGAUAACUUCAGGAAACUGGGGCUAAUACCGGAUAGGAGCUCCUGCUGCAUGGUGGGGGUUGGAAAGUUUCGGCGGUUGGGGAUGGACUCGCGGCUUAUCAGCUUGUUGGUGGGGUAGUGGCUUACCAAGGCUUUGACGGGUAGCCGGCCUGAGAGGGUGACCGGCCACGUUGGGACUGAGAUACGGCCCAGACUCCUACGGGAGGCAGCAGUGGGGAAUAUUGCACAAUGGGCGGAAGCCUGAUGCAGCAACGCCGCGUGCGGGAUGACGGCCUUCGGGUUGUAAACCGCUUUCGCCUGUGACGAAGCGUGAGUGACGGUAAUGGGUAAAGAGGCACCGGCUAACUACGUG